Molecule: small nuclear RNA, 102 nt
Organism: Myotis myotis
Lineage: Eukaryota; Metazoa; Chordata; Mammalia; Chiroptera; Vespertilionidae
Source: RefSeq, a predicted model, not a curated record
GUGCGCCGGGAGGCAGCACAUAUACUACAAUCGGAACAGAGAAGACUAGCCUGGCCCCUGCGCAAGGAUGACAGGCAAAGGCGUGAAGUGUUUCAUAUGUAA